AUCCAACAAAGUAAUUCACCUUUUCGUGGUGUUGGAUAUAAGUAAAUUAAUUUUAAAUUAAUUGAAACUAAGUAAUUA
RNAcentral lists this non-coding RNA (78 nucleotides) under unclassified sequences. The record is from RNAcentral.